Molecule: long non-coding RNA, 1812 nt
Filed under: Cyanistes caeruleus (blue tit)
Lineage: Eukaryota; Metazoa; Chordata; Aves; Passeriformes; Paridae
Description: lncRNA (ENSCCEG00000016355.1)
Source: RNAcentral
CCAGAGGUUUAUGUCCAAAAAGGAGACAGAGGAGUCUUGUAGCUUUAUUCGUGAAUAAUGGGCGAGGCCUCGGGGCAUUUUCCAUGGAGUCCCUCAGAUUUCUGGGGGAUGCAGCCUCCUUUUUAUCCUAAUUUACAUUUCCCCAUUGGCUGAGGUACUUGAGAGAUACACACUUCCCGAAUUGAGUAAUACAGACCCUCUUCUAAUGUGCACACCCCUGUCCCCUCUUUUUAUCUUUGUUCUUUUUCUCCAAGUCCAGGAAUUUAGCAGGGCCUUGGAUAAGCAACAGUUGAUGUCCAUAAGUAACAUCCCCCUUUUGCUUAACUCACCUAUCGGUCUCUGGCUCAGGCCAGAUUGUAAAAACUCAUUCCUCUUAUUCCUUUCAGGAGUGUUUUAGGAAAAUUGAGCCAUGCUCUCCUGGUUGUAUCUAGAGAAGGAGCAAGAAGCAACAGGCACAAGCUGAAAUACCAGAAAUUCAGUUUAGAGUGAGAGGGAAAAUGGCUGGUACGUGUCAGUACAAACAUUGUCUUGGAUAAGGCUUGAUCUCGUUUAUUUCCCAGUAUUUACUAGAAUCUUAAUUUUAAAUAAAAGGUCAGUUAACCAGUAAUACUUAAAUUGUUAGCACAGCUGUUUUCUAGUAUGAUAUACAAUAUCAUGAUAUAUUCAUGAUGUGAAUGUAACAGGAGGACAUUGGCUUGAGAGGCCUGUUGUACUUCAGAGCAUUUCUGUGACUAGAGAAGGAUGGAGAGGGAAAAAAACAGCAUCAAAAGCAAAUAGCCAGUUGCAGGUUUAUGUAGUUUUCCUACUGAGGCUCAUCAAUGGUUUUGAAUUUUGGUGCUGAAUUUUAUAGGAAAAUUUUUUUAAUAGGAAGGGUUUUUUUAUAGGAAAAGCACAUCCGUCAGCAAUGGACAAGAUUUACACAGACCCUGCUGUGGAAAAUGAUAACACGGAGCACAUCAGGAGGAAGCGACUGUCCUCCAUUUUAAAGGCUCCACGAAAUCCUCUGGAUGAUCUGGGAAAUGGGAACGAAAUGACCCAGGACAUCCACGUAGAGAGGCGCAGGAGGAGCUCGCGCAGGGUCAGCUUCGCCAACACCAUCAAGUGAGGGAGCUGAAGGGUGCACACCUACGUCCCUUCCUCAGCCAUAGAAUGCAGGGAAUAAUCCUUCCCCCUAAAAGUGUCCUCACUGAGUAAUCACAAAUGACUGCAAGCAGCAGGAAGAGUCUUAUAUCGAGUUGGGAACCCUGAGAGCCAUUAUUCAUUUUUACUUCACAGCUGAAAAAAAGCCCAGUUCAGUGAAAUUAAUAUAGUUGGGAAUUUUUGUUUUACGUUCAGUUUCCAUUCAGACAUCUCAAAUGUCAUCAUGGCAUCUUCUCCCUGAAAAAUACAGCUGGGUUCAGUACACUUCUGGCUUUUGGUAUCUCGUUUCAGAACAUUUAGAAAAGAUUUAAAUUAGUGCUGCUUGUUUGUUUUUUUUGUUUUUUUUUUUUCCUUUGAAUUUGGUUUUAGAGAUGGUUUUGUUUUUAAAAACUGGUGGUUUUGUUCUUAGCUGCAGAGUCUUCCAGCAAGAUCUUAAGAACAGCGCAUCAGAAACAGAAAAUACAGGUAAAACUCCUUUUUCUUUUCCUGACAGGCUUCCCAGACUAUUAGCAUCAAGACUUUAGCUUGAUUUUAAGAAAUCAGAACUUUUCCAUUUGGGGAAGGAACAACAUGGUCAGCUCUUUAUCCUGGCCUGGCUGAAAACUCCUCAGUCACAGUGUUCUUGCCACAAGAAGACACAUCAAGAGUGAGAACUUCAGAACAUUGUUUUCC